UACGUUAGUGGCGCACGGGUGAGUAACGCGUGGAUAUCUGCCUUUUGGUUCGGGAUAACCUUGGGAAACUAGGGCUAAUACCGAAUGGUUCCUACGGGAUAAAGAUUUAUCGCCAAAAGAUGAGUCCGCGUCCGAUUAGCUAGUUGGUGAGGUAAUGGCUCACCAAGGCGACGAUCGGUAGCUGGUCUGAGAGGACGAUCAGCCACACUGGGACUGAGACACGGCCCAGACUCCUACGGGAGGCAGCAGUGGGGAAUAUUGGACAAUGGGGGCAACCCUGAUCCAGCCAUGCCGCGUGAGUGAUGAAGGCCUUCGGGUUGUAAAGCUCUUUUGGCGGGGACGAUGAUGACGGUACCCGCAGAAUAAGCCCCGGCUAACUUCGUGCCA
RNAcentral lists this ribosomal RNA (387 nucleotides) under uncultured bacterium. RNAcentral describes it as "bacterial SSU rRNA". It matches the Rfam family "Bacterial small subunit ribosomal RNA", at positions 88 to 510 of the family's 1533-position model. The record is from RNAcentral.